AGCAAGCUUGAAGGUGAGCACCUCGAAGGGCUUCUUUUUAUGUUGAAAGGCACGGGUUUGCAUGGCGGUUCAUCAGAGGUCAAUACCCCAGUUUGAGAAAGUCCACUGUGGGGAGGAAAGAGAGACUUAAACAAGCCCUGGAAAAACAAAGAAUGGAACACCCCUCCGCUGACUUCAACCAACUGCCUGCUGAUGCGGCCUGACUCCCAGCCCUUUUUGCAGUUUUGAAGUGACAAACUGACUAGGCUACAAAGUAUUCAACCAUGGGCUGGUUCUGGCUGGUUCACCGAGGCUGUGUACAAAGUGUCUUCAUGUCCUGUGUUUCACCUUUUAACAUACAGAACCUAAUUUUACUGCAUUUUAAUGUUAAUUCUCCACUCGAAGGUGAACAUGGGAUGUAUGUAACACAUAUGUUUGCUUAUCAAGCACACAUAUGACCCCCUUUCAUGAAUAUUCAUAGUUCCCCCUGUGACCUGUUGAAUAUGUCUGUUUAGCCAACCUGUUUGGCAUAAAACUCCUAUCCCACCCUAUCUCCCUCAAAGUACCUGUUUGUGGUCUCAGCUGGAGGUGCCACUUCCCAGCCUGCAGUUUGCAACCCUUCUCAAGAAAUAAAGUCUUCCUUUCCAAG
RNAcentral lists this long non-coding RNA (628 nucleotides) under Homo sapiens (human). RNAcentral describes it as "long intergenic non-protein coding RNA 1801". Lineage: Eukaryota; Metazoa; Chordata; Mammalia; Primates; Hominidae. The record is from RNAcentral.